GUAGGGAAUAUUGGGCAAUGGGUGCAAGCCUGACCCAGCCAUCCCGCGUGCCGGAUGAAGGCCCUCUGGGUCGUAAACGGCUUUUGACGGUGAAGAAUCGACAGGAUGCGUCCUGUUUUGACGGUAGCCGUUGAAUAAGCACCGGCUAACUCCGUGCCAGCAGCCGCGGUAAUACGGAGGGUGCGAGCGUUGUCCGGAUUUAUUGGGUUUAAAGGGUGCGUAGGCUGGAAGGUCAGUCAGCGGUGAAAAGCUGUCGCUUAACGAUAGUCUUGCCGCAGAUACUUCCUUUCUUGGAUGAGGAGGAGGCCACUGGAACGGAUGGUGUAGCGGUGAAAUGCAUAGAUAUCAUCCAGAACACCGAUUGCGAAGGCAGGUGGCUGUACCUUAAUCGACGCUGAUGCACGAAAGCAUGGGGAGCAAACAGGAUUAGAUACCCGAGUAGUCC
Molecule: ribosomal RNA, 445 nt
Filed under: uncultured bacterium
Lineage: Bacteria
Description: partial 16S ribosomal RNA
Rfam family: Bacterial small subunit ribosomal RNA
Source: RNAcentral